GAUUCAGCAUCCAUUAGAAGUGGUUAUCAUGAGCCCCUUGAAUGAAAGGCACUGCCUCUUCCCCCGCACGCGCGGGUCCCGGCUCUGAAACUCCCACUCAGG
Myotis lucifugus (little brown bat) is the source of this 102-nucleotide non-coding RNA. The record is from Rfam. NCBI's taxonomy places the organism in Eukaryota, Metazoa, Chordata, Mammalia, Chiroptera, Vespertilionidae.